AUAAUACAUCAGUGUCUGUCUGCAAUGCAUUGCGAUCACAUCGGUGCAAUCGAGGGUUUGGGGUCUUGUUGACUUGUCAAGUUUUUUUUUUUUUAUUCUAACAGUUGUGCAAAUCACAUUUAAAAUGUUGUCAACAGUUGACGCAAGGACACGUGUGGAUGACAAUCCAGCGGAUAGUGAUGAUGGGAUAGAUGUAGUGAAUGAUAAUAUGAAAAAAUGGUGGCAAUUUCAAACUGAAUUGAUCUGGAGAAAUAUCAUCGGGAUCAUUGGCUUUCAUCUCGUUUCCCUCUAUUUUAUCAUCACAUUUGACUACAGGAAGGAGUUGUUCUUGUGUUUCUGGGCAUUCGUCAUGUGUCAAUUGAGUGGAUUUGGAGUGACCGGUGGUGCUCACAGAUUGUGGACACAUCGAGCAUACAAAGCUAAAUUACCACUACAAAUAAUUCUAGCUAUUCUGUACGCAUCCGCUGGAAUGAAUCCAAUCUACGAUUGGGUCCGGGACCACCGAGUCCACCACAAGUAUUCGGAAACCGAUGCCGAUCCCCACAACAGCAACCGAGGCUUUUGGUUUUCACACGUGGGAUGGCUCAUGAUGAAAAAACAUCCCCAAGUCCUCAAAAGAGGACGUACUCUCAACAUGAGUGACAUAAAAACCGAUCCCGUUGUCACUUUUGUCGAUCGGCACUUCACUCUCUUCAAGAUAAUCUUCUGCUUCAUAGUGCCAGUUCUGAUCCCCGUUUAUCUGUUCAAUCAAAAUUGGCGGGCUACGAUAAUUUCCGAGUUAUUCAUCAGAUACCCGAUCGUUCUGAAUGGCACAUGGUCAGUCAACAGUUUUGCCCACAUCUGGGGCAAUCGGCCAUACGACAAAUCAAUCAGACCAACCGAGAACCUCAUGGUGGCAAUAAUGAGUGUUGGAGAGGGCUGGCACAACUAUCACCACGUUUUUCCCUGGGACUACAAAGCCGCUGAACUAGGCUGUAUUUAUCUCAAUCCCACAACAGCCUGGCUAAAUCUAUUCUCAAAAAUUGGCUGGGCAUACGAUUUGAAACAGGCGUCACCCGAUCUCAUACGAAAAAUCACGAAACGACGAGGCGACGGUACACACACACACACCGAUACCCAUGAAAAUUUCAAAGAGACAUAGACUACUCUAUUAUUCCAUACCAAACACAAAGCGAUAAGAAGCCCUUAUCACUCCGUGCGAACAAGACUCACGAACGACUAAAUCGUUCUGUAUUAUUACCUACAUUAAGUUCUCUAAUAUUUUUUUUACUCUUUUGUAAUCAUCGAUCACAAUAAAGUACAAUAAAUAAUAGAAAAACGUCAAAAAAAAAAAUACGAAAUAAUAAAUCGUCACAUGUUGGAUAUCCCAAAGGAGAAGAGAAAUAAAAAUUACCGAAUAUUUUCCUUUUUAAUACCAAUUGAUUAGUAGCCAAUUGGUGAUUGGUAUUAGAGCGAUGUCAGCUGAUUCGUUAUCUCGGUUCCUGCCUUUUUUCUUCGACCGUCGAUCAUCUUCCCCUCCCCUCCCAGAACUUUAUAAAAGCAGGUUCGGGGGGUAGCGUCCCAUUCUCACAGUAAGGUCUAUCGGUUGAUGGUGAUCCCAGUGGGUUUCGACCUUCGUUGAACCAAGCACCAGGAAAGAUGACAGUUUAAUCGUAUUUCACACUGGGUGAGAGAGCACAGAAUUCAUCACAAGCACGUGGACACUGACGCCGAUCCCCACAAUAGCCUCCGUGGUUU
This is an RNA transcript of Fopius arisanus, 1737 nucleotides long. It is a transcript of the gene named stearoyl-CoA desaturase 5, with no coding region annotated. The transcript has 6 exons. NCBI's taxonomy places the organism in Eukaryota, Metazoa, Arthropoda, Insecta, Hymenoptera, Braconidae. The record is from RefSeq and is a predicted model, not a curated record.